Molecule: ribosomal RNA, 1025 nt
Filed under: Pasteurella atlantica
Lineage: Bacteria; Pseudomonadati; Pseudomonadota; Gammaproteobacteria; Pasteurellales; Pasteurellaceae
Also listed under: 1 other name
Description: partial 23S ribosomal RNA
Rfam family: Bacterial large subunit ribosomal RNA
Source: RNAcentral
UUGGGUAGGGGAGCGUUCUGUAAGCGGAUGAAGGUGAAUCGAGAGGUUUGCUGGACGUAUCAGAAGUGCGAAUGCUGACAUAAGUAACGAUAAAACGAGUGAAAAACUCGUUCGCCGGAAGAUCAAGGUUUCCUGUCCAACGUUAAUCGGGGCAGGGUGAGUCGACCCCUAAGGCAAGGCUGAAAAGCGUAGUCGAUGGGAAACGGGUUAAUAUUCCCGUACUUGUAAUAACUGCGAUGUGGGGACGGAGAAGGUUAGGUUAUCAGGGUAUUGGAUAUCCCUGUUUAAGCCGGUAGGUGGGAAUUCUAGGCAAAUCCGGAAUUCUGAAUAACACCGAGAAGUGAUGACGAGGCUCUAAGGAGCUGAAGUAACUGAUACCACGCUUCCAGGAAAAGCCACUAAGCAUAGGUUAUUAUAAAUCGUACUGUAAACCGACACAGGUGAUCAGGUAGAGAAUACUCAGGCGCUUGAGAGAACUCGGGUGAAGGAACUAGGCAAAAUAGCACCGUAACUUCGGGAGAAGGUGCGCCGGCGUAGAUUGUAGCCCUUUACGGGUGAAGGUUGAACCGGUCGAAGAUACCAGCUGGCUGCAACUGUUUAUUAAAAACACAGCACUCUGCAAACACGAAAGUGGACGUAUAGGGUGUGAUGCCUGCCCGGUGCUGGAAGGUUAAUUGAUGAUGUAAUCGAAAGAGAAGCUUCUGAUAGAAGCCCCAGUAAACGGCGGCCGUAACUAUAACGGUCCUAAGGUAGCGAAAUUCCUUGUCGGGUAAGUUCCGACCUGCACGAAUGGCAUAAUGAUGGCCAGGCUGUCUCCACCCGAGACUCAGUGAAAUUGAAAUCGCCGUGAAGAUGCGGUGUACCCGCGGCUAGACGGAAAGACCCCGUGAACCUUUACUAUAGCUUGACACUGAACCUUGAAUUUUAAUGUGUAGGAUAGGUGGGAGACUUAGAAGCAGUAACGCCAGUUAUUGUGGAGUCAACCUUGAAAUACCACCCUUUAACGUUUGAUGUUCUAACGAAGC